CCCUUAGAUGUUCUGGGCCGCACGCGUGCUACACUGAGUGGAUCAGCGGGUCAGGUUGCGCGAAAGUGUUUCCUAAUCUUGAAAUCCGCUCGUGAUGGGGAUUGACGGUUGCAAUUUUCCGUCAUGAACGAGGAAUACCUUGUAAGCGCGGGUCAUCAUCCCGCGCUGAAUACGUCCCUGCCCUUUGUACACACCGCCCGUCGCUCCUACCGAUUGAGUGGUCUGGUGAGGCUUUGGGAUCUGAGCAAAAAGAGCGUUUCGCUCGUUUGGCUCGGAAAACUCAGUCGAACCUUAUCAUUUAGAGGAAGGAGAAGUCGUAACA
This 322-nucleotide ribosomal RNA is filed under the name uncultured eukaryote. Its description in RNAcentral is "partial 18S ribosomal RNA". It matches the Rfam family "Eukaryotic small subunit ribosomal RNA", at positions 1470 to 1796 of the family's 1831-position model. The record is from RNAcentral.